This 266-nucleotide unclassified non-coding RNA is filed under the name uncultured Ascomycota. RNAcentral describes it as "sequence contains ITS2". The record is from RNAcentral. Lineage: Eukaryota; Fungi; Ascomycota.
AACGCAUCUUGCGGCCGCCGGUAAUCCGGCGGCCAUGCCCGUUCGAGCGUCGUUUUACCCCUCGAAAGACUUUAUUUAUAAAGUGCUUCGGCAUUGGGCCGGCGAAUGAGGCUUUCUAAAGCACUUCGCAGCCUGCAAAUUAGUGGCAGCGCGUUAGUAAUUCCCCUGUGUAGUACCUUGCUCACAUUGGAUAACUUUGUCGUUAGCAUUAAACCAUAAUCUUUUAGGUCGACCUCGAAUCGGGUAGGGAUACCCGCUAAACUUAA